UACGUAGGGUGCGAGCGUUGUCCGGAAUUAUUGGGCGUAAGGAGCUCGUAGGCGGUUUGUCACGUCUGCUGUGAAAUCCCGAGGCUCAACCUCGGGCCUGCAGUGGGUACGGGCAGACUGGAGUGCGGUAGGGGAGAAUGGAAUUCCUGGUGUAGCGGUGGAAUGCGCAGAUAUCAGGAGGAACACCGAUGGCGAAGGCAGUUCUCUGGGCCGUAACUGACGCUGAGGAGCGAAAGCGUGGGGAGCGAACAGG
RNAcentral lists this ribosomal RNA (253 nucleotides) under uncultured bacterium. RNAcentral's name for it is "partial 16S ribosomal RNA". It matches the Rfam family "Bacterial small subunit ribosomal RNA", at positions 524 to 776 of the family's 1533-position model. The record is from RNAcentral.